CUGGCUCAGAUUGAACGCUGGCGGCGUGCUUAACACAUGCAAGUCGCGCGUGAAAGGACUUCGGUCCGAGUAAAGCGGCGCACGGGUGAGUAACGCGUGGAUGAUCUACCCAUGAGUUAGGAAUAACGGCUGGAAACGGUCGCUAAUACCAAAUACGCUCCGAUUUCAACUUCGGGGGAAAGGUGGCCUCUGCUUGCAAGCUACUGCUCAUGGAUGAGUCCGCGUCCCAUUAGCUAGUUGGUGGGGUAACGGCCCACCAAGGCGACGAUGGGUAGCCGGUCUGAGAGGAUGACCGGCCACACUGGGACUGGAACACGGCCCAGACUCCUACGGGAGGCAGCAGUGGGGAAUAUUGCGCAAUGGGCGAAAGCCUGACGCAGCGACGCCGCGUGAGGGAUGAAGGUCCUCGGAUCGUAAACCUCUGUCAGGAGGGAAGAACCGCCACGGUGCUAAUCAGCCGUGGUCUGACGGUACCUCCAAAGGAAGCACCGGCUAACUCCGUGCCAGCAGCCGC
This 514-nucleotide ribosomal RNA is filed under the name uncultured bacterium. Its description in RNAcentral is "bacterial SSU rRNA". It matches the Rfam family "Bacterial small subunit ribosomal RNA", at positions 19 to 518 of the family's 1533-position model. The record is from RNAcentral.